AGUGAACGCUGGCGGUAGGCCUAACACAUGCAAGUCGAACGGCAGCACAGUAAGAGCUUGCUCUUACGGGUGGCGAGUGGCGGACGGGGGAGGAAUACAUCGGAAUCUACUUUUUCGUGGGGGGUAACGUAGGGAAACUUACGCUAAUACCGCAUACGACCUACGGGUGAAAGCAGUGGAACUUCGGACCUGGCGCGAAUGAAUGAGCCGAUGUGGGAUUAGGUAGUUGGCGGGGUACAGGCCCACCAAGGCGACGAUCCGUAGCUGGUCUGAGAGGAUGAUCAGCCACACUGGAACUGAGACACGGUCCAGACUCCUACGGGAGGCAGCAGUGGGGAAUAUUGGACAGUGGGCGCAAACCUGGUCCAGCCAUACCGCGUGGGAGAAGAAGGCCUUCGGGUUGUAAAGCCCUUUUGUUGGGAAAGAAAAGCAGCAGGUUAAUACCCCGCUGUUCUGACGGUACCCAAAGAAUAAGCACCGGCUAACUUCGUG
Molecule: ribosomal RNA, 492 nt
Filed under: uncultured bacterium
Lineage: Bacteria
Description: partial 16S ribosomal RNA
Rfam family: Bacterial small subunit ribosomal RNA
Source: RNAcentral